CGGAAAUCUGCACGCCGCUUGGGAUGCAAGUUACUAUGGUUACUCCUGUUGCCUAGUGACACCUGCCUCACGCUGUUGAGUGUGCUACUGCUCAUGCCACUCAUGCGCAACACAUCCCCCUUCAGCUGCCACGGCAGACCAACUCCCUUGACAUAGGACAAGUUGUUUUGUCCUGCAGUCCAGGAGUAAAAUUGGAAUUGGCAUUUUUAUCUGGAAAAGAAAAAAAUAAAAAGAAAGACUGAAGGGUCUCUCUUAUAGCAAGUAUCCAUAUUCCUGUUCUCUAGAUUCACUUACACAUGACAUGAAGAUUCCAGAGACGGACUGCAGGAAGCAACAGUAGUCUGAAAGCAUCAAAGAUCAGCUUAGUUAUGAAACUGAAAAGAAGAGCCAAAAUGAAGAACAUUUGCCUAAAGUCAGUCAUACGCAAACUGCAGGCAAACCUAGAAAAACAGUGUGAAGAUACGGACAGACCAGAAUAGAAGCAGCCAUGACAGAUGAGUCA
Molecule: long non-coding RNA, 502 nt
Organism: Neopsephotus bourkii (Bourke's parrot)
Lineage: Eukaryota; Metazoa; Chordata; Aves; Psittaciformes; Psittacidae
Exons: 3
Source: RefSeq, a predicted model, not a curated record